Molecule: RNA transcript, 2261 nt
Organism: Wyeomyia smithii (pitcher-plant mosquito)
Lineage: Eukaryota; Metazoa; Arthropoda; Insecta; Diptera; Culicidae
Exons: 3
Source: RefSeq, a predicted model, not a curated record
GGCCUCGCGACACGCGCGCCAAACUUCAAAUCAAACUAAAAAACUCUGCACGACCUGCAAAUGCCGCGAGUGAAAAAAAUAAUAGAGAAAACUUCAACCGACCGACGGACUGCAGCGAUUGCGACUUCGCCCAACACCAGGCGUGUGAAAUUGGGGAAAUGAAGUACGACCAAUUAAUCGCUUUCGAGGCCUGCAACAGCCGAGGAAUCUCUCGCCGCUUUCUGUGGCUGCAAAUUUGUGAAACAUUCAACAAAAACCGAAAAGCCGAAAAGAAAAUCCUACGAUCCAAGGGUUCUGCAUCUUGCUUUUGAUCAAGCACGACGUACAGGAAAAAUUCGGGAAUUUUCAAGAGACCAUAAUCUUCCAUACAGUACACUUCAACGGUACCUCCAGAAAGCACCUAAAUCAAAUAAGCCAGGACCUAACACUAUUCUACUUCCUGAAGAAGAAGCUAAAAUUGAAGAAUGGAUUCUUUACAUGUCUAGAGCUGGAUUUCCUAUUAGUGAGUGUAAUCUCACUCAUACAGUUACUGAGUAUGCUGAAAAGAUCCGGAAGACGCGAGAACUGCCAGAGUCAUUUCCGAGCAAAAACUGGUCUCAAUGCUAUUUGAAACGACAUCCAGCUAAUAAGAAGAAAUAAUUCACGAGACUUCCGAGAGCAGGUGCAAAAGUAACCAAGAAUUAAAUUAUUGGCUGGUUUUCUGAAGUUGAAGAAGCCCUCAAAGAUGCUGAUAUUGAUCUUUCGAUUUUCAACGACCCACAACGAAUUUAUAAUUUUGACGAGUCGGGAUUCCAACUUGUACCAGCUCGAUUUAAAGCCUUGUGUGGUGUUGGAGCCAGUAAUGCAUAUUUUGUUAACAACAACUGCGACAAGGAGAACUUCAUAGUAUUGUUUGGAAGUAAUGCUGAUGGUGAACUUGCACCUCCAAUGAUUAUAUACCCUGGCAAACGAAUAACUCGUGAGAUUGCCGAGAAUAUCCCAAGUGGUUGGUCAGUGGGAGUUUCUAAUGAGGGGUGCCAGACGUGUAAAACCUUUUUCGAGUAUAUAGCCAAUGAUUUUUACAAAUGGCUGAUGAUGAAAAAUAUUGAAUAAUCUGCUAUUGUUUUUAUCGAUGGACAUAAAAGCCACGUCAGCAUUGAGUUUACAGAGUUCUGUACGGAAAAGAAGAUAGUUUUGAUAUCUCUUUUUCCAAAUUCGACAAGGUUCCUCCAACCCUUGGAUAAAGUUUUUUUUGGACCAUUGAAAAAAGUUUGGUUUAAAAUAUUAAGAGAGUUCGUUGGAAAUAAGAGUGACGCCCGGGUGAACAAAGCCAAUUUCGGGACACUAAUGAAAACAGCGAUCGCAAGUUUCUUUAAUUCGAAAGAAUGCCUUAAAAAAGGUUUCAAAGUGUGCGGAAUUUGUCCCUGGAACUUGAACGAGAUCGUUUUCAAUAACCUUCCAUCGAAUGUUCCUGAGCCGGAGAGUAAAAUACCUGAUGAAAAUACAACCGAUAUAAACGGAAAUUUGAAUCCUGUGCUACGAGAGGAAGCUGCCGGUUUUUACCUACAUCAACUUUAUUUCGUUGAAAAAGGAUUAGAAGCGGAGGUACUAUCGAGAUUUAAAGAUCUCAUAGACUUCUGGUACGGCUGUUUAGAAGAGCUUUUAUUUCAAUUUUUGGAAAAUUAUAAAGGACAAGACCGAGGGACUUAUGUUUUCGAAGCCUCUUAAUCAGUACGGGAGCGUUUCUUUGGAUUUUACUCUCGACGGCAGUGGCAUCUGUAUUCCAGCUCAAAUAGUAAAAUCAGUGAUUGGUAGCUUUUUAGCAGUAAUAAUUUGUGAGGUUUAAUAAACUAAGCAUAUUUCUCACAGGUUACAAAUCAAAUAUUGAUGAAUCUGACCUCAAUGGUGAAACAAGAAAUCACUCUGUUAAGGUAGAAGAAACAGGAUCAAAUAUUCAAUCUAAUGGAUCGAUGAUAUGCUCAUUUGGCCUAGAGUAGAUGACAAGCAAACUAAUCGAAAUAGAAAAGCUCAAGAACAUGUUCCUUCCGUGGCCACAAGUACCAAAUGGCUCGAAUGGUACCACAAGAAGGAUCACGCAAAGAAAGAACAGGAAAAGGCGAAACUAGCACGGACUGAGAAGAAAAUUGAGAGAAAAUUGCAGAAACAGUAAAAAAUGGAAGAACCUCAUAUGAAAAAGUUGGCAAAAGAAAACAAGAAAACGAAGACGAUGAAAUCAAAGUAAAAAAUCAAAGAAAAAAUUGGAAAAGGCUGCCAUUUUGAAU